This 229-nucleotide ribosomal RNA is filed under the name uncultured bacterium. Its description in RNAcentral is "partial 16S ribosomal RNA". It matches the Rfam family "Bacterial small subunit ribosomal RNA", at positions 568 to 796 of the family's 1533-position model. The record is from RNAcentral.
UGCGCAGGCGGGCUUGUAAGUCAGUGGUGAAAUACUGCCGCUUAACGGUAGAACUGCCAUUGAUACUGCGAGUCUUGAAUAUGGUUGAGGUAGGCGGAAUGUGUUGUGUAGCGGUGAAAUGCAUAGAUAUGACACAGAACGCCGAUUGCGAAGGCAGCUUACUAAGCCAUUAUUGACGCUGAGGCGCGAAAGCGUGGGGAGCGAACAGGAUUAGAUACCCUGGUAGUCC